AGGGGGAGCAAUCCCCCCUAGAGCGGCGGACUGGUGAGUAACACGUGGGUGACCUGCCUUUGUCUUGGGGAUAGCCAUUAGAAAUAGUGGGUAAUACCGAAUACGCUUGCACACGUAGAGGUGUGUAAGGAAAGGCGCUACGGCGCCGGACGAAGAUGGGCCCGCGUCCCAUUAGCUAGUUGGUGAGGUAACGGCUCACCAAGGCGAUGAUGGGUAGGCGGCCUGAGAGGGUGUACGCCCACAUUGGGACUGAGAUACGGCCCAAACUCCUACGGGAGGCAGCAGCUAAGAAUAUUCCGCAAUGGACGAAAGUCUGACGGAGCGACGCCGCGUGGAUGACGAAGGCCGAAAGGUUGUAAAAUCCUUUUGCUGGGGAAGAAUAAGCAUGGGAGGGAAUGCCCGUGUGAUGACAUGAACCGGCGAAUAAGCCCCGGCUAACUA
This 441-nucleotide ribosomal RNA is filed under the name uncultured bacterium. RNAcentral describes it as "bacterial SSU rRNA". It matches the Rfam family "Bacterial small subunit ribosomal RNA", at positions 72 to 503 of the family's 1533-position model. The record is from RNAcentral.